Molecule: long non-coding RNA, 320 nt
Organism: Canis lupus familiaris (dog)
Lineage: Eukaryota; Metazoa; Chordata; Mammalia; Carnivora; Canidae
Exons: 4
Source: RefSeq, a predicted model, not a curated record
AGGGACUUGGACCCCGAGGACCCCCUGGAGGACUCUGGAUGCGCCGUUGGGGGCCACGUCCAUAUCAGAACGGACUCCUCUGAACCACAGGACUGUUGUGCCCAAGAUUGCGAAUCCGAGAAACCACCAAGAAGCCCACACCGAAGCAAACACACAAUGGUUUAUUUAUAAGCUCGAGCUGGUGUCCGAGUAUACCCGACACAGCGGAGCAGGGACUUGGACCCCGAGAGGAAGAAUUCAGGGAUUCACCAGUUGGAGAUAACAGCAGUGCUCAUGACAUCACAUGCCCUCCUUCAUGCCGGUCUCCUGUUAACCCACCC